AUUGAACGCUGGCGGGAUGCUUUACACAUGCAAGUCGAACGGCAGCACGGGUGCUUGCACCUGGUGGCGAGUGGCGAACGGGUGAGUAAUGCACCGGAACGUACCCAGUGAUGGGGGAUAACUAUCCGAAAGGAUAGCUAAUACCGCAUACGCCCUGAGGGGGAAAGCGGGGGAUCGUAAGACCUCGCGUUAUUGGAGCGGCCGAUGCCGGAUUAGCUAGUUGGUGGGGUAAAGGCCUACCAAGGCGACGAUCCGUAGCUGGUCUGAGAGGACGACCAGCCACACUGGAACUGAGACACGGUCCAGACACCUACGGGAGGCAGCAGUGGGGAAUUUUGGACAAUGGGCGAAAGCCUGAUCCAGCCAUUCCGCGUGAGUGAAGAAGGCCUUCGGGCUGUAAAGCUCUUUCGCAAGGAAAGAAAACUUACCCCCUAAUACGGGGUGAGGUUGACGGUACCUUGAUAAGAAGCACCGGCUAACUACGUGCCAGCAGCCGCCGUAA
Molecule: ribosomal RNA, 502 nt
Filed under: uncultured bacterium
Lineage: Bacteria
Description: partial 16S ribosomal RNA
Rfam family: Bacterial small subunit ribosomal RNA
Source: RNAcentral